Molecule: long non-coding RNA, 2077 nt
Filed under: Canis lupus familiaris (dog)
Lineage: Eukaryota; Metazoa; Chordata; Mammalia; Carnivora; Canidae
Description: lncRNA (ENSCAFG00030013724.1)
Source: RNAcentral
AUGACAGUGCUGCUGCCGCUGGUAGCUAACAGGCCCGUGGCCAGGAUUUUCGAGGUGUCCUCGGAAUGUCCCCACGGACGGCCGCCUUCCUUCCAGGCGGGCCCACUCCCCGCCCCAUCCCCCCCGCAUCCCGCCUUAGCCCCGAGCAGGCCCCCCCCCUCCUCCUCGCACCCGGCCCAGCCCCGUCCCUGCGGGGGUCCCUGUACCCACCAUUACACUGCGCCUCACUCGGCCGCGCCCCCCGGCCCUGCGCCCCCUCGGGACGGGCAGUCCGCGGGCGGCGCGGGCCACGUGCUGGGGUCUGUGCCGUCACUCAUUGUGCUGCAGCCAAUGGGCGGCGCCGGCGCCAGGCCGCCGCCCCGAGGUGCGCACCCCCACGCCCAGAGGGGCGCAGCAGCCGGGGGCCCAGGCACCGCCGGGGGAGGGAGCGCUGCGGCUAACGUCGGCUCCAGCGACCGCCAGAGGCCGGCGAGCACAUGGGGUGCGCGCGCAGUCGUCGACGGAGCAGCCCCCCCGCGGGCGCGACAGCCGAGCGGCGCUGCCCCCCCGCACUCCGAGACCGCGGGCCCAGGGGCGCUGGCCGCGAAUUCGGCACCGCGGGGCACACGCCCCAAGGCCUGCCUUACCCGGACGGGAGGACAAGCGGGGACGCCCAGCACUCAAGGCUGACGCUCAGAGGCACUCGGAGCUCCCCGAUCCUCAGCUCCCAGCGAGGCCAACCGUGGGUCCCAAUUCCGGGCUGCAGGGCCGCGCUCCUCCACGCCGGCCUCCCUUGCACGUGGGAAACGCAGAGAGCCUGGGAAUUCCACUGACGCUGGCAUCUGUGAGCCGCACAAUGAAACCCCGUGUCUGAUUUCCUGCCCUGAGCCCUUGAGGGAGAGGGAGUAAGAGGAUUUGGGGGGCUGCGGAGCAGGGACGCUGCUGGUUCUACUGUGAGCCAAGCGGACAGGGAAGGACCCUGAGCUCGUCCCGCCUCGCCGCGCUGUCGGGGCGCCCCGGGCUCCUCGCACACCCCGACCUCGCAGCCGUAGUGAGCACCACGGGCAGGGGAGCACCCGCCCGCCCCCGGCUCCCCGCGCCGGGGGGCCUGGAGCCUGCCGCCUGGGGGGUCCCUGCCGCCCGCCCGGGAGUCUCACCCCCCCAAGGGCAAGGGCGGAGCCGCCCCCAGGAUCCAUCCCGGCGGUCCGGCUCGGGGCCCACGCCGGUUCAGUCCCCAAUCAGGCGGCAGGAGUCAGCAUUCUAGAAACAGUCCCUCCGCGGAGGGAACUGCAGGCGAGCAGCAGGGUCCUCGGCCUGACGGCGGGGACUGCGGGGACGGGCGGCCCGGAGCCCCCCGGAGCCCCGGGGCUGUGGGAGGAACCUGAGGCCCAGGGCGAGGGCAGGAGGGGGGGGCUGGCCUCCGAAGCGAGGGCCCUGGACUCGUGGGGGGACUGCUGUCGCCCGCGGGGAAGGAGGAAGCCACAUGACCCUCCAAGGGGGGACCCCGCGCAGGAGGGGGCUGCUGAGGCCCCGGCUUCCCGCCGCUGGGCUGGCCUGGGCGCCCCACCUCUGCUGUUACCCCCGCCCCCCGCUGCCAUUCCUGCUGCAAUGACUGUGGUUCUUAGGCCUCGUGUGCUUUCCCCACACCUGCCUGGACGCUCCCCUGUGUUUGAAGGAAGCCCCGCACCCAGCCUGGGGCUGGGACGCCCCACCCCGACACCCAGGGGUGCGGCCCUGGCGACCGGCCGCCCAGCUGCGCCUGGCCUGGGCCCCUCGGAUGUCGGCUCUUCCCGUGACGCCUUGCCCUGGGUCCUCGGGUCCGUGUAGCUCAGGGGCUGGUGGCCACGUGCGGAGCGAGUGGCUUUCUACCCCAGUAGUGCAAACCGUGUGUAAAUACCUGUGAGCACCCUCCGUGAGCUCAGCAGGAUUCAAAGGUCAGUCCCUGAGGUGCAGCCCCCUACACACACGCGCACACACGCGCACACACGCUUAACCACGUGAGCAGGCCCUUCUCGGGCUCACCCUCCGCCCUCGGCUGCGUGCUGGCCCGAGGCCCCCCGGGGGUACUCGACUGGGCCCCCCUCUCAGGCCUCAGGAG